CUUUUCUCCAUCAAGAAGCUUUAAGGUAGAGAGAGAGAGAGAGAGAGAGAGAUUGAGCACAAAAAAAAGAAGAAGCUUGGUUCCUUUGUAGCGAGUGAGCGAGUCGAGAGCGCACGCACGUGGAUUUUUCAUUGUUUCGACGUCACGAUUUCGUGGCUGCCAUUCAGGCUAGGAGAGCCGUAGCGGAUCAUUUCCUUAUCCCAACUAUCGUUCCUUUCUUUGGAUUUACGAUAUAGGUGGCUUCCGUGUUGUCAAAACUGGCGGACUAAUUUUUAUGUCCAUGUCAUAUUAUUUAGCCGAUAAGAUGAACUGUUGAUAUAGUUGAGAUAACAGUAAUAUUUUAACACCUAUCAGUAGAGUAAACUGAAACAUAUAUAUAUGUGAUAUUUUUCUAAAAGUCAAUAAACGACUACAGAUAGUGUGAGACUAUAAUUGUAUUUUGGGCACUAUGAUGGUAUUAACAUGAUAUGUUUGAUCAUCGCAUUUUACCACAGUCUGUAUGCUAUGUUGAGUUUGACAGUGAUACUAUACUCGGUUGGGGUAGCGUUCCGCGAGUGCCACUCCGAAGGUUGGGAUAUGAGAUAUUAUUAUGGCAUGAUAGUAGUCUGCGUGGUAGCGGACCACUAUAAGUGGGUGCUGGACAUGAGGCGGCACAGGUUAGACUGACUGUUGAGUCGAUCACUAUGAUUGGAUUUUAUUACAAUAUUUUAUUUAGUACUAAUUGAUACAUGAUAUUUAUGAUUUGUCGAUUUCAGUUAUAUUGUAGAGAUAUGAUAGUAGUAGUUACUCUCAACAAUUAUUCAUAUUAGUACUUGUUUAUUUACACUGCUCAGUCAUUUACUAUUUUUGCCUCUUAUGGACCAAGUGGUGUAGAUUGUCAGCAUUGAUGACCUUACUCACUGGAAACUAUUAAUAAUAGUUCUCAUACCCUCUUCAUUAAUAUUUUAUUUCAGAACCUUCAGCACUAGCGACUGAUCGAAACAAGGGGAUCAUAGAUAGUUAGUAUCUUCUACCUUCUUUGUGUGUGUAGCUAGACCAUCUAUCAGUAUAUAUAGCAGCAUGUAUAGCGGUUUGAGGUUUAGGAUAGUCAGAGUAGUUAUAGCAUUUCGAGGAUUGUUGUGCUGACAAUUAUAUAUCUUUACCUUGUUGUUAUGAUAUAUAGUUUUUAUUUUACUCUAAUACUUAUUGUUGUUAGAUUUUUGUUAAUUUUGUUGGUCAAAGUUUUUUGUCGCUUCGUAUGUAUAACAUGUAUCCUUGCGCAUGCGAUGAGUCUGUUGAUGUAAUCCGAGCUUCCAUUGUAAUCCAAGGCGUGACACAAACUUGUGAGGGUCGCUCCCUACAAAUCAGUACUCAGGAGUUAGCUUUUGCGACAACAUGCUCACCCGUGCAGGAUUGGACGAGGCUCAUUUCUAAAGGGAGAAUGUUGACUAUACCACAGGGCCAUUAGGCAUGGCACAAGUCGAAACGUUACUUUAUGUAAGUCCCGGUUGAUUAGAUAAAAGUUAAUUAAACUUGACAUUGUACGUCACAAUUAGUUGAUAUAUACAUAGUAUAUGGACAUUUUUGUUGGGCACUACACAUUUGUAUAUUUGAUAGUAGUAGAGCUACAUACAUGUUGAUUGACAUAGUCAUUUAGUGAUAUUGUGGUAUUUGAACUUUUACUUCAAUUAUUACAUCCAUGCUUUAUCCUUA
This is a long non-coding RNA of Ananas comosus (pineapple), 1692 nucleotides long. RefSeq lists it as uncharacterized. NCBI's taxonomy places the organism in Eukaryota, Viridiplantae, Streptophyta, Magnoliopsida, Poales, Bromeliaceae. The record is from RefSeq and is a predicted model, not a curated record. The transcript has 2 exons.